Non-coding RNA from Pimephales promelas (fathead minnow), 501 nucleotides. The record is from RefSeq and is a predicted model, not a curated record. NCBI's taxonomy places the organism in Eukaryota, Metazoa, Chordata, Actinopteri, Cypriniformes, Leuciscidae.
GAGAUCAAAAGGGGCUUCUGUGUUUUCAGGGCAAAAGAUACAAGGCUGUUUUCUGUCAUAAUAAAUGCAUUCCAGCCUCACCAAGAGAAAGACCAUGAGGAUAUAUUCCACAGACUGAAGGAGAAAGCUGUGCUGUUGCAGAACCAGGAUGAGGAUGAAGAAGGUGCCAGUGUCCAUCCUCCUGAAACAACCAGACUGAGCUGAAACUCUUGUGAAUUAGAGAUGAACCCAAGCGCAGGAUGCUUGACACAGUUUAUUAAAGGACAAAACCAUGGAAAACAAAACCAACGAGGAGGCAAAACAUGGACAGGAAAAGAAGUGACUAAAGCUGCUCGACUGGCCUGCCGUCCCCUGAGGCAAAAUCAACCUUGUUGCCAACAUUAGUGCGAGGGGAUUUUGCAAAGAUGUGGACUGCACUGUAAAAAGAAAAGGUGCCUAGAGGAACCUUUUGGGGUUCUUCACUUUGCCACGCCGGCGGAACCGUCUGUAGAUCCUCUAGGA